GAUGAACGCUGGCGGCGUGCUUAACACAUGCAAGUCGAACGGAAAGGCCAGUGCUUGCGCUGGUACUCGAGUGGCGAACGGGUGAGUAACACGUGGGUGAUCUGCCCUGCACUUCGGGAUAAGCUUGGGAAACUGGGUCUAAUACCGGAUAGGACCAUUGGUUGGUGCCUUUGGUGGAAAGUUUUUCGGUGUGGGAUGAGCUCGCGGCCUAUCAGCUUGUUGGUGGGGUAAUGGCCUACCAAGGCGUCGACGGGUAGCCGGCCUGAGAGGGUGUACGGCCACAUUGGGACUGAGAUACGGCCCAGACUCCUACGGGAGGCAGCAGUGGGGAAUAUUGCACAAUGGGCGCAAGCCUGAUGCAGCGACGCCGCGUGGGGGAUGACGGCCUUCGGUUGUAAACGUCCUUCGUCCAAGACGAAUAGUGGACGGUAGUUUGGUAGAAGAAGACACCGGCGUAACUACGUGCCAGCAGCCGCGGUAA
Molecule: ribosomal RNA, 481 nt
Filed under: uncultured bacterium
Lineage: Bacteria
Description: bacterial SSU rRNA
Rfam family: Bacterial small subunit ribosomal RNA
Source: RNAcentral